GUGACUGCGUACCUUUUGUAUAAUGGGUCAGCGACUUAUAUUCUGUAGCAAGGUUAACCGAAUAGGGGAGCCGGAGGGAAACCGAGUCUUAAUUGGGCGUUAAGUUGCAGGGUAUAGACCCGAAACCCGGUGAUCUAGCCAUGGGCAGGUUGAAGGUUGGGUAACACUAACUGGAGGACCGAACCGACUAAUGUUGAAAAAUUAGCGGAUGACCUGUGGCUGGGGGUGAAAGGCCAAUCAAACCGGGAGAUAGCUGGUUCUCCCCGAAAGCUAUUUAGGUAGCGCCUCGUGAAUUCAUCUCCGGGGGUAGAGCACUGUUUCGGCUAGGGGGCCAUCCCGGCUUACCAACCCGAUGCAAACUGCGAAUACCGGAGAAUGUUAUCACGGGAGACACACGGCGGGUGCUAACGUCCGUCGUGAAGAGGGAAACAACCCAGACCGCCAGCUAAGGUCCCAAAGUCAUGGUUAAGUGGGAAACGAUGUGGGAAGGCCCAGACAGCCAGGAUGUUGGCUUAGAAGCAGCCAUCAUUUAAAGAAAGCGUAAUAGCUCACUGGUCGAGUCGGCCUGCGCGGAAGAUGUAACGGGGCUAAACCAUGCACCGAAGCUGCGGCAGCGACGCUUUGCGUUGUUGGGUAGGGGAGCGUUCUGUAAGCCUGUGAAGGUGUGUCGUGAGGCAUGCUGGAGGUAUCAGAAGUGCGAAUGCUGACAUAAGUAACGAUAAAGCGGGUGAAAAGCCCGCUCGCCGGAAGACCAAGGGUUCCUGUCCAACGUUAAUCGGGGCAGGGUGAGUCGACCCCUAAGGCGAGGCCGAAAGGCGUAGUCGAUGGGAAACGGGUUAAUAUUCCCGUACUUGGUGUUACUGCGAAGGGGGGACGGAGAAGGCUAUGUUGGCCGGGCGACGGUUGUCCCGGUUUAAGCGUGUAGGUGUGUGUUCCAGGUAAAUCCGGUUCACUUUAACACUGAGGCGUGACGACGAGGCACUACGGUGCUGAAGCAACAAAUGCCCUGCUUCCAGGAAAAGCCUCUAAGCAUCAGGUAACAUCAAAUCGUACCCCAAACCGACACAGGUGGUCAGGUAGAGAAUACCAAGGCGCUUGAGAGAACUCGGGUGAAGGAACUAGGCAAAAUGGUGCCGUAACUUCGGGAGAAGGCACGCUGACACGUAGGUGAAGUGAUUUACUCAUGGAGCUGAAGUCAGUCGAAGAUACCAGCUGGCUGCAACUGUUUAUUAAAAACACAGCACUGUGCAAACACGAAAGUGGACGUAUACGGUGUGACGCCUGCCCGGUGCCGGAAGGUUAAUUGAUGGGGUCAGCGCAAGCGAAGCUCCUGAUCGAAGCCCCGGUAAACGGCGGCCGUAACUAUAACGGUCCUAAGGUAGCGAAAUUCCUUGUCGGGUAAGUUCCGACCUGCACGAAUGGCGUAAUGAUGGCCAGGCUGUCUCCACCCGAGACUCAGUGAAAUUGAACUCGCUGUGAAGAUGCAGUGUACCCGCGGCAAGACGGAAAGACCCCGUGAACCUUUACUAUAGCUUGACACUGAACAUUGAGCCUUGAUGUGUAGGAUAGGUGGGAGGCUUUGAAGUGUGGACGCCAGUCUGCAUGGAGCCGACCUUGAAAUACCACCCUUUAAUGUUUGAUGUUCUAACGUGGACCCGUUACCCGGGUUGCGGACAGUGUCUGGUGGGUAGUUUGACUGGGGCGGUCUCCUCCUAAAGAGUAACGGAGGAGCACGAAGGUUGGCUAAUCCUGGUCGGACAUCAGGAGGUUAGUGCAAUGGCAUAAGCCAGCUUGACUGCGAGCGUGACGGCGCGAGCAGGUGCGAAAGCAGGUCAUAGUGAUCCGGUGGUUCUGAAUGGAAGGGCCAUCGCUCAACGGAUAAAAGGUACUCCGGGGAUAACAGGCUGAUACCGCCCAAGAGUUCAUAUCGACGGCGGUGUUUGGCACCUCGAUGUCGGCUCAUCACAUCCUGGGGCUGAAGUAGGUCCCAAGGGUAUGGCUGUUCGCCAUUUAAAGUGGUACGCGAGCUGGGUUUAGAACGUCGUGAGACAGUUCGGUCCCUAUCUGCCGUGGGCGCUGGAGAACUGAGGGGGGCUGCUCCUAGUACGAGAGGACCGGAGUGGACGCAUCACUGGUGUUCGGGUUGUCAUGCCAAUGGCACUGCCCGGUAGCUAAAUGCGGAAGAGAUAAGUGCUGAAAGCAUCUAAGCACGAAACUUGCCCCGAGAUGAGUUCUCCCUGAGACUUAGAGUCUCCUGAAGGAACGUUGAAGACGACGACGUUGAUAGGCCGGGUGUGUAAGCGCAGCGAUGCGUUGAGCUAACCGGUACUAAUGAACCGUGAGGCUUAACCUUACAACGCCGAAG
This 2365-nucleotide ribosomal RNA is filed under the name Salmonella enterica subsp. enterica serovar Enteritidis. RNAcentral's name for it is "partial 23S ribosomal RNA". It matches the Rfam family "Bacterial large subunit ribosomal RNA", at positions 593 to 2925 of the family's 2925-position model. The record is from RNAcentral. Lineage: Bacteria; Pseudomonadati; Pseudomonadota; Gammaproteobacteria; Enterobacterales; Enterobacteriaceae.